CAGGUGACAGAGAAGGAGUGGCGCGGAUGCAGACGCACCCUACGCUGAGACGCCAGACAAGGAAUGUUUCAUGACGUUAAGAAACCUGAACUUAACAACACCUUGGAAAGUUCCACAGGCAGUCCGACUCCAGAGGCUCUGUAAGAUAUGUUACAUUAUAAAAUUACGUGAAAUAAAUAUGGAUCUGAUUCCUUUGAGUCCAAUCAAGGAAUUGAAAAAAAGAAAAAAAAGCAGGAAUGAAUCCAAAGGAAUUAUGUCAUCUGAUGUGGGAUACAGGAGCCCAUUACUGAUUAAAGUUGGAGAAUUUCCAAGUGAUAUUAGGAACUUAUCUUUCAUGGAAUUGAUUAUGAAAAUCAAGAAUCCUCAUCCCAAAAAAUUUGGAUGCAGGGAUCAAUAAAGAUUUUCAAGACUAGGAUUGAUAUGAGUUGUUUGACAGAAUGGCACUAAAGUGUAUAAAUUAAAUGUGGUAAGUGUUAAUUAUCUUCAGAUCAAACACAACCUGAUUGAAGGCUCAAAUGGCUGAAUUCCUCUUCCUAUUCUUCUGUUCUUAACCUGCUAAUGAAUUUAGCCAUUCCAUAUAACCAUAUAACCAUAUAACAAUCACAGCACGGAAACAGGCCAUCUUGGCCCUCCUAGUCCGUGCCAAAUCCUUAAUCUCACCUAGUCCCACCUACCCGCACUCAGCCCAUAACCCUCCACUCCUUUCCUGUCCAUAUACCUAUCCAAUUUUACCUUAAAUGACACAACUGAACUGGCCUCUAUUACUUCUACAGGAAGCUCAUUCCACACAGCUAUCACUCUUUGAGUAAAGAAAUACCCCCUCGUGUUUCCCUUAAACUUCUGCCCCCUAACUCUCAAAUCAUGUCCUCUCGUUUGAAUCUCCCCUACUCUCAAUGGAAACAGCCUAUUCACGUCAACUCUAUCUAUCCCUCUCAAAAUUUUAAAUACCUCGAACAAAUCCCCCCUCAACCUUCUACGCUCCAAUGAAUAGAGACCUAACUUGUUCUUUCCCUUGUUUCUAGUUUCUCCAUUGCCAUUGUCCAGUCUCCAUCUCCAUUGUUAACAUUCUCCAGUCUGUUAAGUGCAUUCCACCAAUUCUGGGCUCAGGAACAUCAGCAGAUGCUAUCGUACCAGCUUUGUCAAGGCCUAUCCUUCAAAAUCCAGGAUCCAGCACCCUCUUUGACAUUUUACCAUCAGGCCGGAGACUCUGAUACAUAAAGACAAGAACGGUCAGGAUGCGAAACAACUUCUUCCCUCAGGUCUUUAUGCUUCAAAACUUCCUGCCGCAUUGCAUUCGAAAUGUCGCUGGAUAAUUUGUACUGCCCCUACAAUAUUUAAUUUAUGCACUUUACUUUGUUUAUCUUUGUGUAAUUUAUUUGUAGAUUUAAUUCUUACUUUCCUAAGUUAUUGUGUGCUUUAUGUGUGUUAUGUGUACUACUGUGUUUUACACCCUGGUCUGGAGAAACGUUGCCUCGUUUGACAGUAUACACGUAAAUAAUUAAAUGACAAGGGACUUGUCUUGAACCUGAACAUGAAGUUUCGCUUCUUCCCAAUUAUAAAAAAUAAUAGUUAAUCAUUUAGGUGCUUGCUGUCUAUUUUUUAUUAUAGUUCAGUGAAAUAUAUUGGCAUAUAUUACUUUGUUAAGGGUUCCAAAAUUACAAACUGUUGUUAAAAGGACACUUACACAUGCUGGAAUGACCAGGGUUCAUCCCCGAAGACCAUGCCAGGGGUCUAUGGAUGCACAAGUUCACCAUUUACAUCCAAAAUGAAUAUUGGUGCUUACAGACCAACCUCUGAUAUCACAGCUUGCAGAGUUAGAUAACAGAAGUAACAAAGGUUCCUGUUUAUCUAAGACCAUUUGUUAAAGCUUAAUAUUCUCAGCUAAUUUGCUUCCUUCCUUUUAAUCACCUUAUCAAUUUAUUCAAUGUAAAUGAACACAUUAUUACACAGUAAUCAAAGGAGACAAGGGAAAUUAAUCACUGUACUGCUCGGAGCCACAGACCAGAUAUUGUGCUCAAAGCUGUGUGACUGCAAGACUUUCAGCUCAUCAGGGUGAAGGAUGUCGGAUCUGGUCUUCAAAUGUUCCAUGCCUCAUUGUCAAGGACAGGUCGGAGAACGAGUUAGUUACACAAUCAAGCUUCCUCCAUGUUGUCCCAGCCAACACUCUCAAAACAUUUGAAACCAUUUAGUUCUUUUUUUAGCUAUCAAUUCUCCACACAGUUUUGUGUAAUGUGAAAUUUUAUUAAGGUGAAUUAUAUUUUACUAUGAAAUCCAAGUGCUUAUUAAAGUGCAGAAAGGCUUGAUGCUUAUCAGAUACAGAAUGUUACGGCCUUCCUUGAAAGGCUUCUGCGGGGAGCUGCCACAUUAAAAGGAACGCGUGUAUUUUUGGAAUGUAAAC
Molecule: long non-coding RNA, 2398 nt
Organism: Hypanus sabinus (Atlantic stingray)
Lineage: Eukaryota; Metazoa; Chordata; Chondrichthyes; Myliobatiformes; Dasyatidae
Exons: 3
Source: RefSeq, a predicted model, not a curated record